UGGCUAAGCAAAAAGGGGAGAA
RNAcentral lists this unclassified non-coding RNA (22 nucleotides) under Mus musculus (house mouse). RNAcentral describes it as "oocyte_clustered_small_RNA4369". The record is from RNAcentral. Lineage: Eukaryota; Metazoa; Chordata; Mammalia; Rodentia; Muridae.